This is a long non-coding RNA of Pseudoliparis swirei, 333 nucleotides long. RefSeq lists it as uncharacterized. The record is from RefSeq and is a predicted model, not a curated record. Lineage: Eukaryota; Metazoa; Chordata; Actinopteri; Perciformes; Liparidae. The transcript is spliced from 3 exons.
GUCGGACUCUCCGAGACUUCUGGAAGCUGCAGAGAGCGCUUCUACUGCAGAGAGGGAGCAACGUCUGCAACUCCCGCGGAUGGACCGACAGGAGGUCUGUGUCCAGCAGGAAGUUACUGUCCUCUCGCAUCCUCCUCUCCUUUCUCCUGUCCACCCGGCACCUUCAGCAACAGCACCGGCCUCAGCGGACCUGAGGAGUGUAUCAGUUGUCCACAAGGUUUCUAUUGUUUAGGAUCCAACAACACCUCCCCGUCGGGUCCUUGUUUCCCUGGUUUCUACUGCACGGGCGGCUCAGCUUCGCCUGUCCAGAACGAAGCCGAGGAGGGUUUUUAC